UCAAUCCUCUUCACUAGAAUCAAUACUAACACCAAAGAAAGAAGAAAACUAGAAAGAAGAGAUAGCACCAAGCUUAUCUCCGGCUCAAUACUAUCACAAUCUGGCAUUUUCUUCCUCUCUCCUAUCUUCCUUAUACUAUCCCAAGAUACCAACUCCUAUACUACAGAAGAUAACUAUUUUUCCUAACUAUUCAUCUAUUCUAUAUGCUGAA
This 211-nucleotide long non-coding RNA is filed under the name Physcomitrium patens. RNAcentral's name for it is "long non-coding RNA (PPAT_LNC014155)". The record is from RNAcentral. Lineage: Eukaryota; Viridiplantae; Streptophyta; Bryopsida; Funariales; Funariaceae.